GCUGGGCAUGGUGGUGCAUGCCUGUAAUCCCAGCUACUCUGGAGGCUGAGGCAGGAGAAUCACUUGAACCUGGGAGACAGAGGUUGCAGUGAGUCAAGACUGUGCCACUGCACCCCCACCUGGGUGACAAAGGGAGCCUCUGUCUCAA
Macaca fascicularis (crab-eating macaque) is the source of this 148-nucleotide unclassified non-coding RNA. It matches the Rfam family "Metazoan signal recognition particle RNA". Rfam says of the family: The signal recognition particle (SRP) is a universally conserved ribonucleoprotein. The record is from Ensembl. NCBI's taxonomy places the organism in Eukaryota, Metazoa, Chordata, Mammalia, Primates, Cercopithecidae.